RNAcentral lists this transfer RNA (57 nucleotides) under Bos taurus (domestic cattle). It matches the Rfam family "tRNA", at positions 9 to 63 of the family's 71-position model. Rfam says of the family: Transfer RNA (tRNA) molecules are approximately 80 nucleotides in length. Their secondary structure includes four short double-helical elements and three loops (D, anti-codon, and T loops). Lineage: Eukaryota; Metazoa; Chordata; Mammalia; Artiodactyla; Bovidae. RNAcentral also lists the same sequence under 1 other name. The record is from Rfam by way of RNAcentral.
GUCUCAACAUGGUAAAGAAUCUGCCUGCAAUGCAGGAGACCCAGGUUCGAUCCCUGG